CUCCAAUAUGGAAUAAUUCUAUUCAUUAUCUCAGAAGUAUUCUUUUUUGAUGGUUUCUUCUGGGCAUUCUACCACUCUAGUCUAGCCCCGGUCCCAGAAUUAGGGGGACGCUGACCCCCAACAGGCAUUUUUCCCCUCUACUCCUUAGAAGUCCUCUCCUAAAUACAUCUGUACUUUUUGCAUCAGGAGUUUCAAAUACUUGGGCUCACCACAGACAGAUAGAAGGUAGUCAAAAGCAGAUACUUCAAGCACUAUCCAUCACAAUUGCCUUAGGUAUUUACUUUACCUUUCUACAAGUCUAGGAAUAUUUCAAGGCCCCCUUUACUAUCGCUGAUGGGCUCUACGGCUCAACAUUCUUUACAGACACAGGCUUUCGCGGAUUUCACAUUAUUAUUGGAUCAACAUUUCUCACUGUCUCCUCUGCCAAUUAAAAUUCCACUUUACAUCCAACCACCGCUUUCCCUUUGAAGCCGCUGCCUGGUAUUGACACUUCGUAGAUGUAGUAUGACUAUUAUUAUACGUCUCUAUCUCCUGAUGAGGA
This 541-nucleotide long non-coding RNA is filed under the name Homo sapiens (human). RNAcentral describes it as "non-protein coding lnc-SEL1L3-4:1". The record is from RNAcentral. Lineage: Eukaryota; Metazoa; Chordata; Mammalia; Primates; Hominidae.